UGUGGCGAUAAUUUCACAAGUGUAUACAUAGGUAAAAAUUUAUCAAAUUUACACUUUUAAUAUAUACCAUUUAUUACAUGUCAAUUGCACUUCAAUAAAACUGUUAAAAACUUUUCAGGUUGUACACUUUAAAUAUAAACAGUUUAUUGUACGUCAAUUAUAUCUUAAUAAAGCUGUUAAAAGAGUCAAAAGAUGAAUGAAAGCUAAAAAAAUACUUUAAAAUCAUAAGCAAAAGGCUAAUUUCCUUAACACAAAGUCUCUACUAAAUCAACAAGAAAAAGACCAAAAACAUAAUUGAAAAGUUGCAUGGUUCAUACUAUUUCUAGAUAUUGAAGUCUUCAUUAUUUAUUAACGUAUUUCUGGAGGUGGAAGCUGGGUGAAAAUGGUCUGAACAUUGUUUAACACUUUGGAAGCAUAUUGCCAAAUUGCUCCUUGAAAGACCCUACUGAUUUACAUUCUCACCUGCAGGGCUUAUCCUCACUGGGGCCCCCUGAGCAACUCUAGAAAAAUGUCAAUUGCUUGUUUCCAUUUGAAGCCAGAGAAUUGUUCCUAUAUUGAUGAAAAAGCUACACGAGAUCACAGAACAUAUAAAAGAGCCUGGUCCUCAAUCAGAAAAUUUAGAAAAGAAAGAAAAACAGACGAUAGUCCUUUUCUAUUGAAGCUUUCUA
Molecule: long non-coding RNA, 668 nt
Filed under: Equus caballus (horse)
Lineage: Eukaryota; Metazoa; Chordata; Mammalia; Perissodactyla; Equidae
Description: lncRNA (ENSECAG00000044110.1)
Source: RNAcentral